RNAcentral lists this unclassified non-coding RNA (207 nucleotides) under Hevea brasiliensis (rubber tree). Lineage: Eukaryota; Viridiplantae; Streptophyta; Magnoliopsida; Malpighiales; Euphorbiaceae. The record is from RNAcentral.
GAGAAAGAGAAAGAGAAAGAGAAAAAAAAUUAUGGUCUUAAGAGGCAUACAAGUCUGAUAAAAUAGAUUAUUGUCACCUUUGUUAAAGCCUUUAGUGGGCUAUAAUUUUAAAAGUUUUUAACACUACACAAGAUGAAAUGGAGGAGUGUGACUGGUGUAUUAUGCAAUCAUAAGAUCCUUGAUAAAGUGAAAGGCAAGUUCUAUAGA